UACAGAGGUCUCAAGCGUUGUUCGGAUUCAUUGGGCGUAAAGGGUGCGUAGGUGGCGCCGUAAGUCGGGUGUGAAAUUUCGGAGCUUAACUCCGAAACUGCAUUCGAUACUGCGGUGCUUGAGGACUGGAGAGGAGACUGGAGUUCAUGGUGUAGCAGUGAAAUGCGUAGAGAUCAUGAGGAAGACCAGUGGCGAAGGCGGGUCUCUGGACAGUUCCUGACACUGAGGCACGAAGGCCAGGGGAGCAAACGGG
Molecule: ribosomal RNA, 253 nt
Filed under: uncultured bacterium
Lineage: Bacteria
Description: partial 16S ribosomal RNA
Rfam family: Bacterial small subunit ribosomal RNA
Source: RNAcentral